RNAcentral lists this ribosomal RNA (1024 nucleotides) under Hirsutella sp. RNAcentral's name for it is "SSU rRNA". It matches the Rfam family "Eukaryotic small subunit ribosomal RNA", at positions 72 to 1106 of the family's 1831-position model. Lineage: Eukaryota; Fungi; Ascomycota; Sordariomycetes; Hypocreales; Ophiocordycipitaceae. The record is from RNAcentral.
CAUUAUACGGCGAAACUGCGAAUGGCUCAUUAUAUAAGUUAUCGUUUAUUUGAUAGCACCUUACUACUUGGAUAACCGUGGUAAUUCUAGAGCUAAUACAUGCUGAAAACCCCGACCCCUGGGAGGGGUGUAUUUAUUAGAUUAAAAACCAAUGCCCUCUGGGCUCUCUGGUGAUUCAUGAUAACUCGUCGAAUCGCACGGCCUUGCGCCGGCGAUGGUUCAUUCAAAUUUCUUCCCUAUCAGCUUUCGAUGUUUGGGUAGUGGCCAAACAUGGCUGCAACGGGUAACGGAGGGUUAGGGCUCGACCCCGGAGAAGGAGCCUGAGAAACGGCUACUACAUCCAAGGAAGGCAGCAGGCGCGCAAAUUACCCAAUCCCGACACGGGGAGGUAGUGACAAUAAAUACUGAUACAGGGCUCUUUUGGGUCUUGUAAUUGGAAUGAGUACAAUUUAAAUCCCUUAACGAGGAACAAUUGGAGGGCAAGUCUGGUGCCAGCAGCCGCGGUAAUUCCAGCUCCAAUAGCGUAUAUUAAAGUUGUUGUGGUUAAAAAGCUCGUAGUUGAACCUUGGGCCUGGCUGGCCGGUCCGCCUCACCGCGUGCACUGGUCCGGCCGGGCCUUUCCCUCCGCGGAACCCCAUGCCCUUCACUGGGCGUGGCGGGGAAACGGGACUUUUACUUUGAAAAAAUUAGAGUGCUCCAGGCAGGCCUAUGCUCGAAUACAUUAGCAUGGAAUAAUGAAAUAGGACGCGCGGUUCUAUUUUGUUGGUUUCUAGGACCGCCGUAAUGAUUAAUAGGGACAGUCGGGGGCAUCAGUAUUCAAUUGUCAGAGGUGAAAUUCUUGGAUCAAUUGAAGACUAACUACUGCGAAAGCAUUUGCCAAGGAUGUUUUCAUUAAUCAGGAACGAAAGUUAGGGGAUCGAAGACGAUCAGAUACCGUCGUAGUCUUAACCAUAAACUAUGCCGACUAGGGAUCGGACGAUGUUAUUACUUGACUCGUUCGGCACCUUACGAGAAAUCAAAGUGC